Molecule: long non-coding RNA, 1070 nt
Organism: Heterocephalus glaber (naked mole-rat)
Lineage: Eukaryota; Metazoa; Chordata; Mammalia; Rodentia; Bathyergidae
Source: Ensembl
GGAGAAUGUCUUGUUUGUGGCUUGUCAGCAAUUGCUUGAGACAAGCUUCCAUGUGUGAAAGCUACUUGGCAUGAAUGCCUGGGCCGUACCAAGUGUCACCGCAGCGAGAGGGGGAGUCAGAAGAAAAACAGAUCAGACCAGAGCAGACAAUAGGCCCCUAAAGUGUUCCCCCUAAGUUGCUUUGAUGUUGUCCUGGUGUCUUGAUACCAGGAGGCCAGGGAUUGCAGGAAAAGGGUCUUUUUUGUCUUCAUUCACUUUCCCCCCUCAGUUUCUGAAAUGAUUCUCCAGAAUUUCUCCUCAUAAAAAAGUUUUGAAACGUGGUCUCACUAAGUUGCCCAGGAUGGACUCGAACUUUUGAUUCCUCUGCCUCAGCCUUGCAGAGUGCUGGGAUUGUAGGUAUGUGUCACUGCGCCAAGCCCAGUUCAACUUCUGGCCCUUCAUGAAAUUAUCACUCAUCACUCCAGAGUCUACUCACUGCUUUUUCUUUUUUGUCAUUUUUUUUUUUUCUGGGACGUCUAUACUUUGCAUCAUGUCUAUAAUUCAAUUAAGGAAUUAUUAUUAAACACUUUAUUAUUGUUUUUUCUUGAAUUGGUCUGUAAGAUGUUUUCAGCUUCUAAUAAAACUCUCACCCUACUUAAUUUGGUACUAGACACUCUAGGUGCUUAUUAAUUCUCUUGGGUAAAAAUUAAGAAAGCAAACAUGUAAAAGCCAUUGUGAGAUUUAAAAAACAGGUUCUUGAUCACCUGUUUAGUGUCCUCAAUUACUGUGGAUCAAGACUGUCUUUAGUCACUUUUCUCAUUGCUGAGACAAAGUACUCAAGAGCCAAAAUUAAAGGAGGAAAGGGUUUUUUUGGCUCAGUUUGUAGAGGUUUCAGUCUGUAAUUGGCUGGCUUCAAGGCCUCGUGGCAUGGCAGAGGGGCAUCGCAGAGGAGAAACAGUUAUGGACAAAGCAGGGCUGGCAGAAGGCAGCAAAAAAGCAAGCUACAAGGGACAAGCAAUAAGCAAUGGUCCUCUUUCUGUCCCUUAUAUCUCAUACAGGCUACCCACCCACACUCACACCCUUAAUCCUAG